RNAcentral lists this ribosomal RNA (381 nucleotides) under uncultured bacterium. RNAcentral describes it as "bacterial SSU rRNA". It matches the Rfam family "Bacterial small subunit ribosomal RNA", at positions 28 to 409 of the family's 1533-position model. The record is from RNAcentral.
GACGAACGCUGGCGGCGUGCUUAACACAUGCAAGUCGAGCGGUAAGGCCCUUUCGGGGGUACGACGAGCGGCGAACGGGUGAGUAACACGUGGGUGACCUGCCCUCAGCUCUGGGAUAAGCCUGGGAAACCGGGUCUAAUACUGGAUAUGACUCCAUGACGCAUGUUGGUGGGGUGGAAAGCCUUGUGCGGCUGAGGAUGGGCCCGCGGCCUAUCAGCUUGUUGGUGGGGUGAGGCCUACCAAGGCGACGACGGGUAGCCGGCCUGAGAGGGCGACCGGCCACACUGGGACUGAGACACGGCCCAGACUCCUACGGGAGGCAGCAGUGGGGAAUCUUGCGCAAUGGGCGAAAGCCUGACGCAGCGACGCCGCGUGAGGGAU